GACGACCGCUGGCGGCGUGCUUAACACAUGCAAGUCGAACGGAAAGGCCCUGCUUUUGUGGGGUGCUCGAGUGGCGAACGGGUGAGUAACACGUGAGUAACCUGCCCUUGACUUUGGGAUAACUUCAGGAAACUGGGGCUAAUACCGGAUCGGAGCUCCUGCUGCAUGGUGGGGGUUGGAAAGUUUCGGCGGUUGGGGAUGGACUCGCGGCUUAUCAGCUUGUUGGUGGGGUAGUGGCUUACCAAGGCUUUGACGGGUAGCCUGCCUGAGAGGGUGACCGGCCACAUUGGGACUGAGAUACGGCCCAGACUCCUACGGGAGGCAGCAGUGGGGAAUAUUGCACAAUGGGCGGAAGCCUGAUGCAGCAACGCCGCGUGCGGGAUGACGGCCUUCGGGUUGUAAACCGCUUUCGCCUGUGACGAAGCGUGAGUGACGGUAAUGGGUAAAGAAGCACCGGCUAACUACGUG
RNAcentral lists this ribosomal RNA (468 nucleotides) under uncultured bacterium. RNAcentral's name for it is "partial 16S ribosomal RNA". It matches the Rfam family "Bacterial small subunit ribosomal RNA", at positions 28 to 507 of the family's 1533-position model. The record is from RNAcentral.